CCUACGGGUGGCAGCAGUGGGGAAUAUUGCACAAUGGGCGGAACCCUGAUCCAGCGACGCCGCGUGAGCGAGGAUGGACUUCGGUAUGUAAAGCUCUAUUAGCCGGGACGAAAAAAGACGGUACCUGACUAAGACGCCCCGGCUAACUACGUGCCAGCAGCCGCGACAAUACGUAGGGGGCCAGCGUUAUCCGGAUUUACUGGGUGUAAAGGGAGUGUAGACGGGAAGGCAAGCCAGAAGUGAAAGGGCAGGGCUCAACCCUGUACGUGCUAUUGAAACUGGCGUGCUAGAGUGCAGGAGAGGUAAGUGGAAUGCGUGGUGUAGCGGUGAAAUGCAUAGAUAUUAGGCAGAACACCGAUUGCGAAGGCAGCUUACUGGACUGUGACUGACGUUGAGGCACGAAAGCGUGGGGAGCAAACAGGAUUAGAUACCCGAGUAGUC
Molecule: ribosomal RNA, 441 nt
Filed under: uncultured bacterium
Lineage: Bacteria
Description: partial 16S ribosomal RNA
Rfam family: Bacterial small subunit ribosomal RNA
Source: RNAcentral